UUCUAGCCCCGAUGGAGCCGGUAUCCUUUUUAUGUCUGCCGCGGCGGACAUAAAAAGAUAAAGGCGAGAGCGGGAAAUAGC
Molecule: non-coding RNA, 81 nt
Organism: Flavobacterium sp. ov086
Lineage: Bacteria; Pseudomonadati; Bacteroidota; Flavobacteriia; Flavobacteriales; Flavobacteriaceae
Source: Rfam